AUUGAACGCUGGCGGCAGGCCUAACACAUGCAAGUCGAGCGAGCGGCGGACGGGUGAGUAAUGUAUGGGGACUGCCCGAUAGAGGGGGAUAACUACUGGAACCGGUGGCUAAUACCGCAUACUAUCGGAUAACCCAUAUGGGAUUAGCUAGUAGGUGGGGUAAAGGCGCACCUAGGCGACGGUCUCUAGCUGGUCGUAGAGGAUGAUCAGCCACACUGGGAAUGAGCCACGGCCCAGACUCCUACGGAGGCAGCAGUGGGGAAUAUUGCACAAUGGGCGCAAGCCUGAUGCAGCCAGGCCGCGUGAAUGAAGAAGGCCUUAGGGUUGUAAAGUACUUUCAUCGGGGAGGCGUGACCCGCAGAAGAAGCAACGGCUAACUCCGUGCCAGCAGCCGCGGUAAUAC
This 403-nucleotide ribosomal RNA is filed under the name uncultured bacterium. Its description in RNAcentral is "partial 16S ribosomal RNA". It matches the Rfam family "Bacterial small subunit ribosomal RNA", at positions 30 to 526 of the family's 1533-position model. The record is from RNAcentral.